This 582-nucleotide long non-coding RNA is filed under the name Elaeis guineensis (African oil palm). RNAcentral describes it as "long non-coding RNA (EGUI_LNC027681)". Lineage: Eukaryota; Viridiplantae; Streptophyta; Magnoliopsida; Arecales; Arecaceae. The record is from RNAcentral.
GAAUGAGAUCUGCAAUGAAAAAUAAAAUCCAACAAGAUCAAAAUCAGUCCAAAUAGAGUCCAGAUCGAGAAACUAUGUGCAAAAGAAAGCAAAGAUGUGGAUGGGUAUGGCCCACAGACCGUAGAUGGGCCCCACAGACGGUGUGGACCCACGGGCAUGCAGGCUUGGCCCAACUGCACACUGGUGCGGCAUGUUGGGUUUGAGCCCGCCAGCGAAUGGCCCAGCACCAGGCUAUUUUUUCUUUCUUUGGUCCAUGAUGGAUCGGUCACAAUAUUGCGGCUCACAGUAGGGCUCAUUAAUCUUAUAAUCCAUCAGUGACACCUCACAGUAUGUAGUGGCAAUCUAGCAGAAUGGAAGGGAAUAAACUUCUAGGUAUAGUUAACCUAUGAUUCAAUUCUUCUAUCAUGAGUUCCAACAAGAUGGAGGUUAUGAAAAAUUCGUCAAAUUUCAUCAUCUAUUAUAUGUAAGAUUUACUCAACUCGAGUUUAAAUUAUGAGACACUACAAAGAGAUACUGAGAGUGGCGAGCUUUCUGAUAGGAUCGAUAUCUACCAGUGGACCCACCAGCGACGGUCAGGAGAGU